This 406-nucleotide ribosomal RNA is filed under the name uncultured bacterium. Its description in RNAcentral is "partial 16S ribosomal RNA". It matches the Rfam family "Bacterial small subunit ribosomal RNA", at positions 30 to 526 of the family's 1533-position model. The record is from RNAcentral.
AUUGAACGCUGGCGGCAGGCCUAACACAUGCAAGUCGAACGAGUGGCGGACGGGUGAGUAAUGUAUGGGAAACUGCCUGAUGGAGGGGGAUAACUACUGGAAACGGUAGCUAAUACCGCAUACCAUCAGAUGGGCCCAGAUGGGAUUAGCUAGUUGGUGGGGUAACGGCUCACCAAGGCAACGAUCACUAGCUGGUCUGAGAGGAGGACCAGCCACACUGGAACGGAGCCACGGUCCAGACUCCUACGGGAGGCAGCAGUGGGGAAUAUGGCACAAUGGGCGCAAGCCUGAUGCAGCCAUGCCGCGUGUAUGAAGAAGGCCUUCGGUUUGUAAAGUACUUUCAGCGGGGAGGCGUUACCCGCAGAAGAAGCACCGGCUAACUCCGUGCCAGCAGCCGCGGUAAUUC